Molecule: long non-coding RNA, 877 nt
Filed under: Bos mutus (wild yak)
Lineage: Eukaryota; Metazoa; Chordata; Mammalia; Artiodactyla; Bovidae
Description: lncRNA (ENSBMUG00000011938.1)
Source: RNAcentral
GGGAUUCCCCUCAGCCUUCCAGGGAUGCUCCAUGGAACAAAGUCAGGGGAGAGUCCUUCCUCACCAUCUCCCCACCAAUGCUUUCCUAGGUGAUUUUUCUUUUAGGUGGCAUUUCCCUGGAAGUCUUCUUUAUGUCAAGACUUGAACUGCUGCUUAUUGAAGCCAUCCUACAAAGAUGAUCUCCUGUUUCCUGGAGUCAGAGAGCCAAAGCUGGAGGCCCAGAAAGAGAAAGUCAUGCACAUAGCAGCAGCACAAAUCUGUGGGCCACUGUGACCCCGGCUCUGUCCCAGGCUUUCCAUCCCCAUUCCACCACCAAACAAAACAAGAACUGUUGGAUCAAUUUGGGAAUCGCCUUCUGCAGCUUCCUUCUAACUGUGGGAUUUCAUUCUGUGGACACCUGCUUCUAAAUAAAUACCUGUGUUUCCCUAAGAGAACUUUUGAUAAAUAAUGUCUCCUCCACCUUUGCAAUGGGAUGCCCAGUUCUUGUUAAGGCUGAAGGUAGAUUCUCCAUGGGGAAUUCUGAAAUGCAGGAGACAUACACAGAGAACAAAAAAGCAGGUGAAGAAAGGAGAUUCUGCAUCUCAAGCAGGACUUUCUCUGCCUCCUUAUGGAGCAAAACAGACCCAGUCCUUUCCCCAAUAUUUAAGCCCCAUUGCACACCCCUGCCCCAAAGGAUUAAAGGAUGGUUCACUGGAGAAGGAAACGGCAACCCACUCCAGUAUUCAUGCCUGGAAAAUCCCAUGGACCGAGGAGCCUGGUGGGCUACACUCCAUGGGGUCGCAGAGUCCGACAUGACCGAGCGACUUGUGUGUGUGUGUGUGUGUUAAAAAAAAAAAAAAGGAUGGUUCAGAGUAUUGACAGCCCUGAGUGACCCCUA